UUGGGGAAUUUUCCGCAAUGGGGGCAACCCUGACGGAGCAACGCCGCGUGGGGGAGGAAGGUCUGUGGAUUGUAAACCCCUUUUCUCAGGGAAGAAGUUCUGACGGUACCUGAGGAAUCAGCAUCGGCUAACUCCGUGCCAGCAGCCGCGGUAAGACGGAGGAUGCAAGCGUUAUCCGGAAUUAUUGGGCGUAAAGCGUCCGUAGGCGGUUCAUCAAGUCUGCCGUUAAAGACUGCAGCUUAACUGUGGGCGAGCGGUGGAAACUGAUGAACUAGAGUACGGUAGGGGUAGAGGGAAUUCCCAGUGUAGCGGUGAAAUGCGUAGAUAUUGGGAAGAACACCAGUGGCGAAGGCGCUCUACUGGGCCGUAACUGACGCUGAGGGACGAA
RNAcentral lists this ribosomal RNA (388 nucleotides) under Chroococcales cyanobacterium N1a. Its description in RNAcentral is "bacterial SSU rRNA". It matches the Rfam family "Bacterial small subunit ribosomal RNA", at positions 354 to 757 of the family's 1533-position model. The record is from RNAcentral. Lineage: Bacteria; Bacillati; Cyanobacteriota; Cyanophyceae; Chroococcales.